This 529-nucleotide ribosomal RNA is filed under the name uncultured bacterium. RNAcentral's name for it is "partial 16S ribosomal RNA". It matches the Rfam family "Bacterial small subunit ribosomal RNA", at positions 355 to 900 of the family's 1533-position model. The record is from RNAcentral.
UGGGGAAUAUUGGACAAUGGGGGCAACCCUGAUCCAGCAAUGCCGCGUGUGUGAAGAAGGUUUUCGGAUUGUAAAGCACUUUCGGCGGGGACGAUGAUGACGGUACCCGCAGAAGAAGCCCCGGCUAACUUCGUGCCAGCAGCCGCGGUAAUACGAAGGGGGCUAGCGUUGCUCGGAAUGACUGGGCGUAAAGGGCGUGUAGGCGGUUUGUACAGUCAGAUGUGAAAUCCCCGGGCUUAACCUGGGAGCUGCAUUUGAUACGUGCAGACUAGAGUGUGAGAGAGGGUUGUGGAAUUCCCAGUGUAGAGGUGAAAUUCGUAGAUAUUGGGAAGAACACCGGUGGCGAAGGCGGCAACCUGGCUCAUGACUGACGCUGAGGCGCGAAAGCGUGGGGAGCAAACAGGAUUAGAUACCCUGGUAGUCCACGCUGUAAACGAUGUGUGCUGGAUGUUGGGCCAACUUAGUUGUUCAGUGUCGUAGUUAACGCGAUAAGCACACCGCCUGGGGAGUACGGCCGCAAGGUUGAAAC